UACGUAGGGUGCAAGCGUUGUCCGGAGUUAUUGGGCGUAAAGAGCUUGUAGGCGGUUUGUCGCGUCUGCUGUGAAAUUUCGGGGCUCAACCCCGAACUUGCAGUGGGUACGGGCAGACUAGAGUGUGGUAGGGGAGACUGGAAUUCCUGGUGUAGCGGUGAAAUGCGCAGAUAUCAGGAGGAACACCGAUGGCGAAGGCAGGUCUCUGGGCCAUAACUGACGCUGAGAGGCGAAAGCAUGGGGAGCGAACAGG
This 253-nucleotide ribosomal RNA is filed under the name uncultured bacterium. RNAcentral's name for it is "partial 16S ribosomal RNA". It matches the Rfam family "Bacterial small subunit ribosomal RNA", at positions 524 to 776 of the family's 1533-position model. The record is from RNAcentral.